RNAcentral lists this transfer RNA (77 nucleotides) under bacterium. RNAcentral's name for it is "tRNA-Pro". It matches the Rfam family "tRNA". Rfam says of the family: Transfer RNA (tRNA) molecules are approximately 80 nucleotides in length. RNAcentral also lists the same sequence under 2 other names. The record is from RNAcentral.
CGGGGUAUAGCGCAGCUUGGUAGCGCGUUCGCAUGGGGUGCGAGAGGCCGCAGGUUCGAAUCCUGCUACCCCGACCA